RNAcentral lists this transfer RNA (84 nucleotides) under Clostridiales bacterium. Its description in RNAcentral is "tRNA-Leu". It matches the Rfam family "tRNA". Rfam says of the family: Transfer RNA (tRNA) molecules are approximately 80 nucleotides in length. Their secondary structure includes four short double-helical elements and three loops (D, anti-codon, and T loops). Lineage: Bacteria; Bacillati; Bacillota; Clostridia; Eubacteriales. The record is from RNAcentral.
GCGGGCGUGGCGGAAUUGGCAGACGCGCCAGACUUAGGAUCUGGUGGUAUUACCGUGGGGGUUCAAGUCCCUUCGCCCGCACCA